AGAGUUUGAUUAUGGCUCAGGAUGAACGCUGGCGGCGUGCCUAACACAUGCAAGUCGAGCGAUUCUCUUCGGAGAAGAGCGGCGGACGGGUGAGUAACGCGUGGGUAACCUGCCUCAUACACAUGGAUAACAUACCGAAAGGUAUGCUAAUACAGGAUAAUAUAAGAAAUUCACAUGGAUUUCUUAUCAAAGCUCCGGCGGUAUGAGAUGGACCCGCGUCUGAUUAGCUAGUUGGUAAGGUAACGGCUUACCAAGGCGACGAUCAGUAGCCGACCUGAGAGGGUGAUCGGCCACAUUGGAACUGAGACACGGUCCAAACUCCUACGGGAGGCAGCAGUGGGGAAUAUUGCACAAUGGGCGAAAGCCUGAUGCAAGCAACGCCGCGUGAGUGAUGAAGGCCUUCGGGUCGUAAAACUCUGUCCUCAAGGAAGAUAAUGACGGUACUUGAGGAGGAAGCCCCGGCUAACUACGUGCCAGCAGCAGC
Molecule: ribosomal RNA, 484 nt
Filed under: uncultured bacterium
Lineage: Bacteria
Description: bacterial SSU rRNA
Rfam family: Bacterial small subunit ribosomal RNA
Source: RNAcentral